This 250-nucleotide ribosomal RNA is filed under the name uncultured bacterium. Its description in RNAcentral is "partial 16S ribosomal RNA". It matches the Rfam family "Bacterial small subunit ribosomal RNA", at positions 524 to 773 of the family's 1533-position model. The record is from RNAcentral.
UACAGAGGUGGCGAGCGUUGUUCGGAUUUACUGGGCGUAAAGGGUGCGUAGGUGGUUUUGUGUGUCGGGUGUGAAAUGCCACGGCUCAACCGUGGAAUGGCAUUCGAAACUACAGAGCUAGAGUGCAGGAAGGGAGAGCGGAAUUCUCGGUGUAGCGGUGAAAUGCGUUGAUAUCGAGAAGAACACCGGUGGCGAAGGCGGCUCUCUGGAAUGUAACUGACACUGAGGCACGAAAGCUGGGGGAGCAAAC